CGGUUUGAAUUUGAAUUCGCCCCCGAACUGACUCCAAUUUUCACGUUGCCCAUCACUGGAAACCCUAAACCCACUUUGCAUCCCUGGUUUUCUCGAUUACUCGAUUAGUGAGGGAUGGCGACAUAACAACCAAACUAGCGUUUCGGAUGCUUGUUUCUCCGAAACGCUAGUAAAAUAUAGAAGACAUCCCUCCUAUGGACAUCUUUCAGACAUCUGUAAAUACGGAACUACCCUGAAAACACGGAGGAUCAUUUUGGGACAUCAGGACAAGGCCCAACGAGGGAUCACACCCACACAUACUACCGAACAGCUUGUUGCGAUGUCUUCUUCUUCCCCAGCUGGACAUCGGAUUGUAUUUGUUUUGGUUUUUUUGGGUGGAUGACCACUAAUGGACUUGGAAUCUCGUCGCGGGAGCCAGGAAACAGAAGGGGAAAGAACUACUAUAAACUGUCCCAUCCUACACGGUGAACUGAUCUGCGGCGCUAUUUUUCUAAUGGACUGUCCUCGACCUUGGAACAUUUAACGUUUAACACAAAACAAUGACGGAAUCGACUCUUUCCAAUUUCGACUCAGUCUGGGAGUCAGGGGUGUCAUUUUAUUUAGUAAUCAAAAAUCCACGUUUCUUCCCUCGCCAUCAUCCCAUCGACCUCUCGAUACAUCUCAACCGCCGUUCGUCAGUCAAGGACACCGAGGAAUCAUCCGGAAGCUUCUGAGACUCCAGUUCUUAAGAAACUCAGGACUCCGGAUUUCGGUUGUAUUGGCGACUGCCUGAAGAAAAAGGAUCUUUUUACGUCCCCCCGACUGUUGCUCCUGUAUCUCGAUCGCAAAUCUUCCAGUUUGCUUGAACCCAGCUGAUGUCGUCGAGAAAGAAACACAGUACAGAACGUUUUCUUGCUUUUCUUACUUUCCUAAUCCAAACUAUUUCUCGUCUUUCCCCCAGAUCUUUCUGCUGUUCGCCUACCGGUCAGACGAGGACUCCAAAAAGAUCUAUGGGAAGAGGAAAAUCCUGUUGGAGCCUGGUCACAGGACGCCAUCAGAUAUAUUGUGGGCUUUUGGGGGCAAACCCAAAGCCUCCGCGCUCCCACCCAACCGUAGCAGCCGUAGGUGACUCCGACUGCCCCUUGGACCGGUCACCGUGAGAUAUCUUGGAACCGUUUACAUGUUCCCUCCCCUCUGAAAGAUAUUCUACUCCAUAUUCAUUGUAGUAUCAUUUAUUUACUUAAAUUAUUUACAGGGCUUCAGCUUCCCGUAAGGAAACCCAUCAAGCACCGCCCGCCGGGUGCGACAGUCACCAAAGGGAUUUACGUAGACUGGUCUGUUCUCUUUAUUUCGGUCCCUACCUAAAAGAGCUCUCUUAAGGGGAUCCCAGACCCGAUUAUAACCUAUUCGACGCGGUCGCUGGAGAGGAUUCCCCAUGGGAUUAACAAGUACUUGGCUUUGACGGUUUAAAUGUCAAGUCUCGCCCAGAAGGAGCGAUAAGUGGCAAAUAACUAAAUAAACAAAUGUGGAAAAAACACUCGCCGUGAAUUGUUCACAUCCGGCAAUAAACAGUUUAAAAUUGGUGAUAUAAUAAAUAAAUAAUAGUGCAAUAUGGGUGUAUCUAUGUGCAAUAUAUAUAGGUUAAUUUUUAAGUGUUAUAUAAGAUCCCCUCCCCCAACAAAAGAAUACAAAUAAUUAAAUAAACAAAUAACUAAAUAAACUAAGGGACAACACAACAUAAAGCUAAAAAGACUAUUUCGCAGUAAGCCGCCGAUCUUUUCCAGGUCCGGUUGGUGAUGUAAUUCCACGUGCCGUGACGCGCAAUCGAAUCCCCCACCGAUUUCUCGCGGGCACGACAGGUUCCUCCAGGUAGCUAGCGCUGGAGGCACCGGGCUCGCCGAUGACGUAAUCUCCGGCCGAGAACCGGGGUUACUCCAAGAAAAACUUGGCCAGGCCCUAAUUAAUGGAACCUGGCCACUACCUUCCACGUCUCUUCUCGCUGGCCUGAAAUGGGAUUCCUAUUGGAAUUUUCUU
Drosophila suzukii is the source of this 2013-nucleotide non-coding RNA. The record is from RefSeq and is a predicted model, not a curated record. Lineage: Eukaryota; Metazoa; Arthropoda; Insecta; Diptera; Drosophilidae.